ACUCAAAGGAAUUGACGGGGCCCCGCACAAGCAGUGGAUUAUGUGGUUUAAUUCGAAGCAACGCGAAGAACCUUACCAGGGCUUGACAUGGAGACUGCCGCUCUAGAGAUAGAGCUUCCCUUCGGGGGGUCUCACACAGGUGGUGCAUGGUUGUCGUCAGCUCGUGUCGUGAGAUGUUGGGUUAAGUCCCGCAACGAGCGCAACCCCUAUUGUUAGUUGCUACGCAAGAGCACUCUAGCGAGACUGCCGUUGAUAAAACGGAGGAAGGUGGGGACGACGUCAAAUCAUCAUGCCCCUUAUGUCCUGGGCUACACACGUAAUACAAUGGCGUAUAACAGAGGGAAGCAAAACAGUGAUGUGGAGCAAAUCCCUAAAAGACGUCUCAGUUCGGAUCGCAGGCUGCAACCCGCCUGCGUGAAGUCGGAAUUGCUAGUAAUCGCGGAUCAGCAUGCCGCGGUGAAUACCGUUCCCGGGGCUUGUACACACCGCCCGU
RNAcentral lists this ribosomal RNA (493 nucleotides) under uncultured bacterium. RNAcentral's name for it is "bacterial SSU rRNA". It matches the Rfam family "Bacterial small subunit ribosomal RNA", at positions 899 to 1397 of the family's 1533-position model. The record is from RNAcentral.